AAAUAUUGGCAACACUGUCCAGAAUCGGUUUCGAACGAUCGCCAUGUUUGUUUUUGCUGUUCUGUUUCGAGUCGAGGUGAAUUUAAACAAAAGUUAAAUUUGAUGAAUUUGUUUUUAGAAAUUAUUAUAUUUAUAACUAUGCCUACUUUAAACGGCCGGAUGAUUGCCGCACAUAUGACUCCUCAAGAUUUCCCUUUCGGAAAAAAAUAGUAUGUGAGACUCGUGUUGCGGAAUCCUGUCGCCACAAUUAGGUAUUGACUGGGAAUCACGAGUCAAUCCAGGAUAACUUACACCUGCCAAAACGUACAUAUCUGUUGUGCCGGUGCGUGCCAAUAUUCUAAUGCGUACCCGAUCCGCGCUAGCUGGCUGGGUGGACCGUAUAGUGGACCCUAAUAAAGCAUCGAGCAUCGACUACUGGGCGUCCGGUGGUAUGGGGGUAUUCCUUCUGAAGAUUAAUUGGGCCAUCCCGAAGAGGAAUCGGCGUCAGUGUUAUACACGGCCGCCAAUCUUAUCCAGAUUCAAUACAACUGCUUAUGUGGUCUGGAUAUGCAACGUUAUUGCGGAAUCAAGAAUAGAACUUUCUGUCCUAUUUGAAACUGAAGAGAUAUAAAACAACUAGACACAGAAGCAGAUCGGAAAAUAUUUAUUAGAAACAUGCUGGUACAAAUGCAAAGAGUUGCUGCAUCUCCUGUCUAUACUGCAUCUCCUGAUAUACAUAUCCGGCAAUUCCUCAGUGCCGCCAAGUAAACAGUCAACACCCGAUGGCACGGUGGUCGAACAAUUUCGUUUCGAUGGGAUGGGAACAUCUUUUCGCAGCCCCGGUGUCGGUGGUUCAGCGUUGGCAACACCCACCAUCGGAUGGCUGGCGGCAUCAACGGAAGAGCAUCGCACUCCAGCCCAAAAAAUAACGACAAUAAGGCAAAUUAAUGGCCUGUUGAAAGUAAAAUGCAAAUGACUUCUUUUACUUCAAUCGAUUGAUUUUAACUUAUAAUUGAUUUUAAAAUAAUGAAAAAUAAAUAUUUGUUGCAAGAAAAAAAAACAAA
Molecule: long non-coding RNA, 1043 nt
Organism: Armigeres subalbatus
Lineage: Eukaryota; Metazoa; Arthropoda; Insecta; Diptera; Culicidae
Exons: 3
Source: RefSeq, a predicted model, not a curated record